UAGUCUAGUGGUUAAGACUAUGGAACGCCAAUCCAGAGACGGCGGGUUCGAUUCCCGU
Aedes albopictus (Asian tiger mosquito) is the source of this 58-nucleotide non-coding RNA. The record is from Rfam. Lineage: Eukaryota; Metazoa; Arthropoda; Insecta; Diptera; Culicidae.